AUUAAUACCGCAUACGCCCGUACGGGGGAAAGCCGGGGAUCUUCGGACCUGGCGCUAGUAGAUGAGCCCGCGUGAGAUUAGCUUGUUGGUGGGGUAAUGGCCUACCAAGGCGACGAUCGGUAGCUGGUCUGAGAGGAUGAUCAGCCACACUGGGACUGAGACACGGCCCAGACUCCUACGGGAGGCAGCAGUGGGGAGUAUUGGACAAUGGGCGAAAGCCUGAUCCAGCAAUGCCGCGUGUGUGAAGAAGGCCUGAGGGUUGUAAAGCACUUUCAAUCGUGAAGAAAAGUUGCAGGCUAAUACCCUGUGACCUUGACGUUAACGAUACAAGAAGCACCGGCUAACUCCGUG
Molecule: ribosomal RNA, 351 nt
Filed under: uncultured bacterium
Lineage: Bacteria
Description: bacterial SSU rRNA
Rfam family: Bacterial small subunit ribosomal RNA
Source: RNAcentral